UAGCGGAACUCCUACGGGAGGCAGCAGUGGGGAAUUUUGGACGAUGGGCGCAAGCCUGAUCCAGCCAUGCCGCGUGAGUGAAGAAGGCCUUCGGGUUGUAAAGCUCUUUCGGCCGGGAAGAAAUCGUGGUCUCUAACAUAGGCCAUGGAUGACGGUACCGGACUAAGAAGCACCGGCUAACUACGUGCCAGCAGCCGCGGUAAUACGUAGGGUGCGAGCGUUAAUCGGAAUUACUGGGCGUAAAGCGUGCGCAGGCGGUUUUGUAAGACAGAUGUGAAAUCCCCGGGCUUAACCUGGGAACUGCGUUUGUGACUGCAAGGCUAGAGUACGGCAGAGGGGGUGGAAUUCCUGGUGUAGCAGUGAAAUGCGUAGAUAUCAGGAGGAACACCGAUGGCGAAGGCAGCCCCCUGGGCCUGUACUGACGCUCAUGCACGAAAGCGUGGGGAGCAAACAGGAUUAGAAACCCCGGUAGUCCACUUAUG
Molecule: ribosomal RNA, 482 nt
Filed under: uncultured bacterium
Lineage: Bacteria
Description: bacterial SSU rRNA
Rfam family: Bacterial small subunit ribosomal RNA
Source: RNAcentral